AGAUGAAGGGCACACACUCAAGGGGUUUUAAGCAGGCCAGGUUGACAGCACUUCUCACAGUGGCUGUUCAAUUGCCAUCUCACCUCCCUGCUGGAUUGAAACUCCCUGAGGGCAGAGCCUAGUCAUUUGUGUUGGAAGCUGCAUCAGUGCAUCUAGAACAUGGCUCAGCACACAAAAGGUGGAGUGUUCUGGGAAUGAAUGAAUGACAGCCUCUACCCCUGUCGUCUGCCCUGUGUCUCCCUGCCACCCUGCCCCUGUCCUCCCGUCCCCUGUCCCUUGCCCCACCACGCUGCCCCCUGCUAUGGCAGGGCUAUAGAUGGGCCAGCCAGGAGGGACUCAACCCCGGAAGCCCACAGCCUGGCCACAUUGCAGCCAGCUGACUCUGCCGCACCUCCUGGAAGACACAGGCCUUGGCUUCUGCCUACUGCGGGUGACACACCACACCUACCACGCCUCUUCACAAACUUAAAUGGGACAGAUGCCCACGCUGGUAUACAAACCACACCUUGACAGAACCACAUGCAGAAACACAUCCGUACAUACCCACUCGCAUCCCAAGGUAGAGGCUAUGCCUUCCCACACCAACUCACAACACCUUAAUCACAGCUAGCAUACCUGAUACACAUUCACACACACAUCCAUACACAUACCCCCUCACACAUAUCCGCACAUACACUCAGGCACAUAUACACACACACAAACACCCCCACACAAGCACACAUCCACACACAUAUCCACACACACACCCUCACACACAUCCACACGUACACUCACAUCCACACACCCACACACAAGCAUACACACAAAGAGUACACACAUACACAUAUACACACAUCCACACACACACCCUCACACACAUCCACACACACACCCUCACACACAUCCACCUAUACAUUUAUACACAUAUCCACAUCCACAUACCCAUACAAACAUACACACACAAAGCACACACACACACAUCCACAUAUACACACAUCCACACAAACACCCACACACAAGCACACACACAAGCACACACAUCCACAUAUACACACACUCUCACACACAUCCACAAUUCAUUCAUACACAUAUACCCCCACACACACAGAGCACACACACACCUAAACACCCACACACAAGUACACCUACACACACAAACACACACAUCCACAUACACAUCCACACACACACACAAUCCACAUGGACACUGAUAUCCACACACCCACACACACAAAGAGCACACACAUACACAUAUACACACAUCCACACAAACACCCACACACAAGCACACACACAUACAGCACAUGCGCAUCCACAUAUGCACACACAUCCCCACACACAGAAACCCUCACACAUCCACAUAUACACAUCCACACACACAUCCCCCCUCACACAUGUACACACAUACACUCAUAUGUAUAUACACACAAAUCCACACACACACAUCCACACACAUAAACACCCACACACACACAUAUACUCAUACACAUGC
This 1471-nucleotide long non-coding RNA is filed under the name Homo sapiens (human). RNAcentral's name for it is "HSALNT0154990". The record is from RNAcentral. Lineage: Eukaryota; Metazoa; Chordata; Mammalia; Primates; Hominidae.